AGGUGUGUGGGUUCAUUUCUGGGUCUUCAAU
RNAcentral lists this non-coding RNA (31 nucleotides) under Rattus norvegicus (Norway rat). The record is from RNAcentral. Lineage: Eukaryota; Metazoa; Chordata; Mammalia; Rodentia; Muridae.